RNAcentral lists this ribosomal RNA (497 nucleotides) under uncultured bacterium. RNAcentral describes it as "partial 16S ribosomal RNA". It matches the Rfam family "Bacterial small subunit ribosomal RNA", at positions 28 to 507 of the family's 1533-position model. The record is from RNAcentral.
GAUGAACGCUGGCGGCGUGCCUAACACAUGCAAGUCGAACGAACGGUCGAGAAGCAUGCUUCUCUGAUGUUAGCAGCCGACGGGUGAGUCACAUGUGGAUAACCUACCUAUAAGACUGUGAUACCUACGGGAAACGUGACCUAAUACCGGAUAAUUUAUUGCCUUUCAUGGGUCAAAAGUGUAAGACGCUCUUUCUGUCACUUAUAGAUUCAUCCGCGCUGCAUUAGCUAGUUGGUAAGGUAACGGCUUACCCAGGCAGCGAAGGAAAGCCGACCUGAAAGGGUGAACGACUACACGGGAUCUGAGGCACGGCCGACACUCCGGGGGUGGGCAACAGUAGGGAAUCUUCCGCGAGGGGCGAAUGCCGGACGGUGCAAAGCCGGGGGAGUGAUGAAGGUCUUCGGAUCGUAAAACGCUGUAAGUAGGGAGAUAGAAAUGUGUUAGUAACGGGGCAGAUCUUGACGGUACCUAAUGAGAAAGCCACGGCUAACUACGUG